AGCAGCCGCGGUAAUUCCAGCUCCAAUAGCGUAUAUUAAAGUUGUUGCAGUUAAAAAGCCCGUAGUUGAAUUUCGGGAUCAGUACGCUGGUCGUGCCUUUGGUAUGCACUGGUGUCACUGGUUUCUCCCUUCUGAAGAACUGUCAUGCCAUUCAGUUGGUGUGGCGGGGAAUCAGGACUGUUACUUUGAAAAAAUUAGAGUGUUUAAAGCAGGCUCGCGCUUGAAUACAUUAGCAUGGAAUAAUGAAAUAGGACGUUUGACCCUAUUUUGUUGGUUUCUAGGAUCGACGUAAUGAUUAAUAGGGAUAGUUGGGGGCAUUAGUAUUCAAUUGUCAGAGGUGAAAUUCUUGGAUUUAUUGAAGACUAACUACUGCGAAAGCAUUUGCCAAGGAUGUUUUCAUUAAUCAAGAACGAAAGUUAGGGGAUCGAAGACGAUCAGAUACCGUCGUAGUCUUAACCAUAAACUAUGCCGACUAGGGAUCGGAUGAUGUUAAUUUUUAAUGACUCAUUC
RNAcentral lists this ribosomal RNA (510 nucleotides) under uncultured Glomus. RNAcentral's name for it is "SSU rRNA". It matches the Rfam family "Eukaryotic small subunit ribosomal RNA", at positions 569 to 1081 of the family's 1831-position model. The record is from RNAcentral. Lineage: Eukaryota; Fungi; Glomeromycota; Glomeromycetes; Glomerales; Glomeraceae.